CAUAUGAUACCUCCUAUUUCACAGAUCUAUGUACCAGAUAUUGACGAUGAAAUUGAAAUACCAAUUAAAAAGGAAAGACGGAGAACGAGCACUUCUGUUCAUUUCGAUCACCUUUGAAGUGACGACACAAGUGACGUAUUUGUAAAUAGAGCGAUUCAAGUCCACGACAGAAUGACACAAUGGACGCAGAGAGUGAAGCUAAGGGGAAGCCGACUGUUGAAGAAUCGUUACCAACCUGUAAUACAUUGUGAAAAUGCAUAUUACUUUUUUUAACGUCCCCAUUGACACAAUUUAGAUAAUUUAAGAGGCGUGCUCCUUACCCUACAUGUCAUGGCCAACCUGGAUUGAGAAAGAUACACCAUUGUAGCUGAAAGACUCGAGUACUUGAUAAAAUUUUUUGGCCACACUAGAAUCGAAUUCUGGUCUCCUGCGUGCGACAGCGAAGCGCCUAACCGCUACACCACAUAGACGCUGUGGUCCACAUCGUGUAAGAAAUACACAUUAAGUUUAUUAUGUUAUCAAAUUAUUUACUAUACACGUUCUCUGCCACAUAAGGUCGUUGGUAUAGUGGAUUUCAUGCAUGAAAAGAAUAAAUGGGUCAUACAGCGUUUCUAUAGCUGCUCACAACCUCUGGUAAUUCAAGUCACACCACUGACAGCUCAGCUUGAAGUAGCAUAACGAAUGGCGGGUGACGACAAGCCAAAUGUUAUGAAGUUAGAUGUAAAUGAGGAUUCCUACGAAGUACGGACAUUAUCCCAUUUUGAAACGUUUUGAAUUGUCUGUUUUGUUUUAUUUCUUCGUCUCUAUCCUCAUUGAAUCUCAGUAGAUAGAACGGUCACCGUCACAAACGAGUAAACGGAAAGGUUUUACCGGGCAUGCUUGAAAAGUGGCCGUGUGGUCUACAGUAUGGAAAAACGGAAUUCCCUCUUCGAGAAUUCUCGUAGUUUUUGUCAAAGUGUGACUAUGCUUGUGCUGCCAUUCGAGUCACCAAAUACAUGUACAUAAUGUUGUACAAUUUUCUAGAGAUAUGUGUAACUUAGUAAAUAGCUGGAAUUAUUGUGUCAGUCCCUUUUCUGAACAGAAGAUUGAUUAUAGAGUGCGCAUAGGAGAAACAGUCUGGCUUUUGUUAUUUCACGUGUCUGUUAAUGUGGCUGAUUCCUUAAAAAACCCAUCUGAAACUGGUUUAUUGAUAUUUGGAGAAUGAGCAAGUCCCUUGUCCAUAUCUGACGGACCGAUCUCAAAUCUUUACUAUAAUAUAGACGUUGACGAGCAGAGCAAGUAACUGACUUAGGAUUCUUUUCUAUUCUGCAGUACAAAUAUUUUCUGGUCGGUUUGAAGCAUGAUUUUGUAAUAUUUGAUGUAUUAUCCUGAAAUGUGCGCCUUUUCCAAGACUCAUUAAAUCUGAAUUUUUCAAAUCCGACUAGCACUUCAUUGGCAUAGUAGGCCCCACGCUGACGUUUUCUAAAAUACUUUCAAAAAGAUCUCCAAAGACUUGUAAAAUUAUGAAUAUUAUGCGAUUCCCAAAGGUCUGAACGUUAUCGAGUAUUAUUUUCUUACCUGAAACUGAAUGUUCUUUAGCCGGACUAGUUGAAGAGAAACUUGGGAAAAGCAUAAUGAAGAGAAAUGCGAUUUUUUUCUUCACAGAGUUAUGACGAAAAGAAAUGUAAUUUCCCGACGUUUUAGACCGGUCCGAGAUAUGGCUUUGGGAGCAUAUUAUUACAUUAAAUCACGCAUGGUUUCUUAGAUGAUUAUAUUUGCAUGCCGCGUUACUUUCUUGAAAAAA
Molecule: long non-coding RNA, 1783 nt
Filed under: Aplysia californica (California sea hare)
Lineage: Eukaryota; Metazoa; Mollusca; Gastropoda; Aplysiida; Aplysiidae
Description: uncharacterized LOC118478946
Source: RNAcentral